GACCAGUGAUUAACUAUUGAUGAUACUGAAGACGUUUGUUAAAGCAACUGGAGCAGCAGAAGGGAGAAUGUGGCAAGAAAACUAAUAAUAUUCUGAAGAAGAUACAGCUCUACUAUUCAACUUGCAGAUAUUCCAUACUUGGUGUAUGGGAAUUGCUAAGUCAUGGCCUGAACCAGUGAUUGAGCACCUGGUGAAGGAACACAGCCAGCCGUAGGAGCACAGAUGAAAGCAGUUCACCUGUGCAACCAGAAGAAGUGAAACCAAGUUCUUCCCCUCCCUAAAGAUGAGCUGAGACAAAGGUAGGUUUUCUAGCUGGAGAUCCCUCCUUUUGGAAUAUUUAGUGAGUGUUUAUUCUUGGGACAGGUAAGCAAAAAUUAUUUUCUUUAACUGAAUUACGAUUAUCACCCUUUUUUCUAGUUUUAGAAUUGGUUAUCUGCCAUCGUCUUUCCUAACAUUUUGACUGAACAAGGUCUGAUCAAUCUG
This 483-nucleotide long non-coding RNA is filed under the name Phasianus colchicus (ring-necked pheasant). Its description in RNAcentral is "lncRNA (ENSPCLG00000017066.1)". Lineage: Eukaryota; Metazoa; Chordata; Aves; Galliformes; Phasianidae. The record is from RNAcentral.